CACGUAGGCACCAAGCGUUGUCCGGAUUUAUUGGGCGUAAAGAGCUCGUAGGCGGUUCCGUAAGUCGAGUGUGAAAAAUCUGGGCUCAACCCAGUGGAGCACUCGAUACUGCGGUGACUAGAGUACGGUAGAGGAGUGUGGAAUUCCUGGUGUAGCGGUGAAAUGCGCAGAUAUCAGGAGGAACACCAACGGCGAAGGCAGCACUCUGGGCCGGUACUGACGCUGAGGAGCGAAAGCGUGGGGAGCAAACAGG
RNAcentral lists this ribosomal RNA (253 nucleotides) under uncultured bacterium. RNAcentral's name for it is "partial 16S ribosomal RNA". It matches the Rfam family "Bacterial small subunit ribosomal RNA", at positions 524 to 776 of the family's 1533-position model. The record is from RNAcentral.